UUGUUUUCUUUUUUUUUCUUUUUUUUAUUUUUUUUUUAUUGAUCAUUCUUGGGUGUUUCUCGCAGAGGGGGAUUUGGCAGGGUCAUAGGACAAUAGUGGAAGGAAGGUCAGCAGAUAAACAAGUGAACAAAGGUC
RNAcentral lists this non-coding RNA (135 nucleotides) under Anophryoides haemophila. Lineage: Eukaryota; Ciliophora; Oligohymenophorea; Philasterida; Glauconematidae. The record is from RNAcentral.